AGAACGAACGCUGGCGGCAGGCUUAACACAUGCAAGUCGAACGCGUGUAGCAAUACACGAGUGGCGCACGGGUGAGUAACGCGUGGAUAUCUGCCUUUUGGUUCGGAAUAACCCCGGGAAACUUGUGCUAAUACCGGAUAAGCCCUUACGGGGAAAGAUUUAUCGCCGAAAGAUCGGCCCGCGUCUGAUUAGCUAGUUGGUGUGGUAACGGCGCACCAAGGCGACGAUCAGUAGCUGGUCUGAGAGGAUGAUCAGCCACAUUGGGACUGAGACACGGCCCAAACUCCUACGGGAGGCAGCAGUGGGGAAUAUUGGACAAUGGGCGCAAGCCUGAUCCAGCCAUGCCGCGUGAGUGAUGAAGGCCCUAGGGUUGUAAAGCUCUUUUGUGCGGGAAGAUAAUGACGGUACCGCAAGAAUAAGCCCCGGCUAACUUCGCGCCAGCAGCCGC
This 448-nucleotide ribosomal RNA is filed under the name uncultured bacterium. RNAcentral's name for it is "SSU rRNA". It matches the Rfam family "Bacterial small subunit ribosomal RNA", at positions 26 to 518 of the family's 1533-position model. The record is from RNAcentral.